AAAAAGCGUUAAAGCUUCAUUGUUUUUUAUCAAAAAAUACCACUAAUUAACUGUAACCCUUCACCUGUACUGAAUGAUCUCAUAGUUAUAUGAGAGCCUAUAUGUUAGAACUAGUAACAAGAAGAAGCCCUUCUCCAAAAUGUAAGCAUGAGCCAAAAUGAACUAUUCACUGGCAUUUAAAGUUAUAAACCUAUUGUAGCAACUUAACAAGAAAAAUCUACAAAUGCAAACGUCAACCUUACACCAGCACAUUUCUGGAAAGAUAAAAAGAAUAGGAAGGAACUCGGCAAAUAACUAACCCCGCCUGUUUACCAAAAACAUCGCCUCCUGAUCAUCCAUAGGAGGUCCAGCCUGCCCAGUGACUAAGUUAAACGGCCGCGGUACCCUAACCGUGCAAAGGUAGCGCAAUCACUUGUUCUUUAAAUGAGGACUAGUAUGAACGGCAUCACGAGGGUUAUGCUGUCUCCCUACUCUACUCAGUGAAACUGAUCUCCCCGUGAAGAAGCGGGGAUAAAAAUAUAAGACGAGAAGACCCCAUGGAGCUUUAAACUCAGUGCCAACUGCCCUAAUAAUAACCUAUUACCCUUGCAGCCAUGGUUACUAGUUUUCGGUUGGGGUGACCACGGAGUAAAAUUUAACCUCCACGAUGAAAGGAACUAAUAUCCUAACCUAUGAGCUACAGCUCUAAGUAUCAACAAAUUGACUAAUUGACCCAAUUACUUGAUCAACGAACCAAGUUACCCUGGGGAUAACAGCGCAAUCCAUUUCAAGAGCUCAUAUCGACAAAUGGGUUUACGACCUCGAUGUUGGAUCAGGGUAUCCCAGUGGCGCAGCCGCUACUAACGGUUC
RNAcentral lists this ribosomal RNA (849 nucleotides) under Microhyla mukhlesuri. RNAcentral describes it as "partial large subunit ribosomal RNA". It matches the Rfam family "Bacterial large subunit ribosomal RNA", at positions 1579 to 2574 of the family's 2925-position model. Lineage: Eukaryota; Metazoa; Chordata; Amphibia; Anura; Microhylidae. The record is from RNAcentral.